UGUCAUAUCAAGGAAAGGGUUACCUGACCUGUGUAAGACUAGGAACCAGAAAUGUUCCUGGCUGCAUAACCCUAGUCUCGCAUGACUUCUGAUACUGUAGGAAAGCAAGCUGGAAAUUAAUGUGUGGAAUUCUAAGAGAGAUGCAAGCAAAGUGACCAUUUGGGAAGGAAUAAUCCAGAAUGCAAAUACAAACUGAGCCGUCAUUUAUUAUUCAUCCUUGGGUGAGAGGGAGAAGAACCAGGGGUCAGAGAGAGAAGACAUUACAGAUUGAAUGCCAGCUGAAAUAUGGAAGGAAAGGACCGUGUUUUGAAAAUGACAGAGAACUUAGAAUGCAUUCACAGAAGGGUAAAAAGAGAAGAGAGAACAUUUAUAAAGCUAAUUAGAAGAGGAAGGUUCUGAAAAUACGUUUGAACUGGCCUGGAACAGUUAAGAAGGCUUUCUGACUCCACUCUUCCUACUCUGGCUUGCUAAUCAACUUUACCUGGUUUGAAAUGCCCACCCUUAUAUACAGGCAAUUAUGUGGAUUAGAAAUUAAGGAUGAAACAUCUUCCCAAAAGGUCACUGUUAAGAUUUACCCAUCAUCUUGGUGCUCCUAGCUCUCUACGACCAACACAGAGUGGCUGACACUUCAACCAGGCAGCUUGGAUUGCAAUGAGGACAAUGCAAUGCAUUUGGGCUGGAAACACUGCACAGGAUUUAACUGUAUGAAUGCACUCUAGUUCAUCUAUGCGGUGGUUAAGAGCGUAGGCUCUGAAGACUGCUAGGGUUCAAAUCCCAGGUCUUUCAACAUCAACUGGCUGUGAAACAUGGGCAAGUGAGUAAACGUUUCUGUGCUUUGGUUUCCUCACCGGUAAAAUGUGGAUAAAAGCAAUUCCUUCACAGGGUUGUUUGGAGGAGCAAAUGACUUUAUGUAUGUGAGGCACUUAGAAUAAUCUCUCAGUGUUAUUAUUUAACCAACAUUUUUGUUGAAUAUUUAGUUCAUUUCCAGGUUUUCACUCUUACAAAUAUACUGUAAUUAACAAAU
This 1024-nucleotide long non-coding RNA is filed under the name Homo sapiens (human). RNAcentral's name for it is "long non-coding RNA NONHSAT161732.1". The record is from RNAcentral. Lineage: Eukaryota; Metazoa; Chordata; Mammalia; Primates; Hominidae.